This 606-nucleotide ribosomal RNA is filed under the name uncultured Actinomycetes bacterium. RNAcentral describes it as "bacterial SSU rRNA". It matches the Rfam family "Bacterial small subunit ribosomal RNA", at positions 1 to 582 of the family's 1533-position model. The record is from RNAcentral. Lineage: Bacteria; Bacillati; Actinomycetota; Actinomycetes.
UUGGGAGCUCUCCCAUAUGGUCGACCUGCAGGCGGCCGCGAAUUCACUAGUGAUUAGAGUUUGAUCAUGGCUCAGGACGAACGCUGGCGGCGUGCUUAACACAUGCAAGUCGAACGGAAAGGCCCUGCUUGCAGGGUACUCGAGUGGCGAACGGGUGAGUAACACGUGGGUGAUCUGCCCUGCACUUCGGGAUAAGCUUGGGAAACUGGGUCUAAUACCGGAUAGGAACCAUCUUUAGUGUGGUGGUUGGAAAGUUUUUUCGGUGUAGGAUGAGCUCGCGGCCUAUCAGCUUGUUGGUGGGGUAAUGGCCUACCAAGGCGGCGACGGGUAGCCGGCCUGAGAGGGUGUACGGCCACAUUGGGACUGAGAUACGGCCCAGACUCCUACGGGAGGCAGCAGUGGGGAAUAUUGCACAAUGGGCGCAAGCCUGAUGCACGACGCCGCGUGGGGGAUGAAGGCCUUCGGGUUGUAAACUCCUUUCGCUAGGGACGAAGCUUUUUGGUGACGGUACCUAGAUAAGAAGCACCGGCUAACUACGUGCCAACAGCCGCGGUAAUACGAAUCGAAUUCCCGCGGCCGCCAUGGCGCCCGGGAGCAUGCGACGUC